This 3422-nucleotide long non-coding RNA is filed under the name Salmo salar (Atlantic salmon). RNAcentral describes it as "lncRNA (ENSSSAG00000115301.1)". The record is from RNAcentral. Lineage: Eukaryota; Metazoa; Chordata; Actinopteri; Salmoniformes; Salmonidae.
GUCUAUACUGUAGGGUGGGGUCUAUACUGUAGGGUAGGGUGGGGUAGGGCUGGGCGAUAAAUCAACAUCAAUAAUCAUCAAAGUAAUUACUUCCCUCAAUAGCAAUAUAAAAACGUUUUAGAUUCAUUUUGGAUCGUGUCGAUAUAGAAUAAUUAGGUACAGCAGUCCAUUUCACCUCUGUGACGCAGCAGGAACGUGCGGAGAAGUGACAAUAUGCACGUGGAGAGGAAUACGCCCACUAAAAACCACUUAGCACCUUGAGUGAUGGAGUAGCCACUAUUAACCACAAAAAAUUAGUGAUGUAGGCAAAAACAGUGGCAGUGAUAGCCAUGGAGAAGGAGCAGCUUCCAACGAAUAAAUUAUUGAUAAAAAGGGUUCAACUGUUUCAGUAAUUUGGAAGUGGUUUGGCUUUUUGAAAUCCAACAAAGAGCAGAGCAAUGUUCGGUGCAAAUUGUGCCGUAGACCGGUGGUUACGAAGUCUGGUAAUACGACAAACCUUUUUCAACAUCUGAAGCAAAAUCACUCUUUGGAACAUGCAGGAAGUUUGAGUUUGCGCCACGGUAUUGAUAAACGCCCCUCAAGCACCAUCUAGGGAUGUUUGCCGGAAGCAGUCAACACAGCGUUUAUGCCCUACAAGCAAACAUUGAAAAGACAAAGACAUCACAAAUGCUAUUAUGCAUUGCAUUGCUAUAAGGACAUGCUCCCAAUUAGCAUAGUAGAAAAGGAAAGUUUCAAGCGGCUUAUCAAUUUAAUUGACCCCAGGUACGUGCUCCCUGGCCGCAAACAUGGAACAAUUUUCCUUCAAGAAUAAUUUUAUGUGUAGCUCCCAUAAUAAAAAAAUUAUGUAACCUUUAUUUAACUAGGCAAGUCAGUUUAGAACAACUUCUAAUUUACAAUUACAGCCUAUCGGGGAACAGUGGGUUAACUGCCUUGUUCAGGGGUAGAACGACAGAUUUUUACCUUGUCAGCUCAGGGAUUCGAUCUAGCAACCUUUCGGUUACUGGCCCAACGCUCUAACCGCGGUUUGUUCAGGGAUUCUUGAGUUUGAAGCAGAUAUGCUCCUUUUAAACAUUAAUUGAUUAAUAUCGUGAUAAUUAUCGUUAUCGAAUGAAAAAAUAUUGUGAUAAUUUAUUUGCCAUAUCGCCCAGCCCAAGAAGUGGGUCUAUACUGUAGGGUAGGUUGGGGUCUAUACUGUAGGGUGGGGUGGGGUCUAUACUGUAGGGUGGGGUGUAUACUGUAGGGUAGGGUGGGGUCUAUACUGUAGGGUAGAGUGGGGUCUAUACUGUAGGGUGGGGUGGGGUCUUUAAUGUUGGAUAGAGUGGGGUCUUUACUGUAGGGUAGGGUGGGGUCUUUACUGUAGGGUAGGGUAUGGUCUUUACUGUAGGGUAGGGUGGGGUCUAUACUGUAGGGUAGGGUAGGGUCUUUACUGUAGGGUAGGGUGGGGUCUAUACUGUAGGGUAGGGUGGGGGUAAGUUUGGGUCUUUACUGUUGAAUAGGGUGGGUCUAUACUGUAGGGUAGAGUGGGGUCUAUGCUGUAGGGUAGGGUGGGGUCUAUACUGUAGGGUAGGGUGGGGUCUAUACUGUAGGGUAGAGUGGGUCUAUACUGUAGGGUAGGUUGGGGUCUAUACUGUAGGGUGGGGUGGGGUCUAUACUGUAGGGUGGGGUGUAUACUGUAGGGUAGGGUGGGUCUAUACUGUAGGGUAGGGUGGGGUCUUUACUGUAGGGUGGUGUCUAUACUGUAGGGUAGGGUAGGGUGAAUACUGUAGGGUAGGUUGGGGUCUUUACUGUAGGGUAGAGUGGGGUCUAUACUGUAGGGUAGGGUAGGGUCUAUACUGUAGGGUAGGGUGGGUCUAUACUGUAGGGUCUAUACUGUAGGGUAGAGUGGGGUCAAUACUGUAGGGUAGAGUGGGGUCUAUAUUGUAGAGUAGGGUGGGUCUAUACUGUAGGGUAUGUUGGGGUCUAUACUGUAGGGUAGGGUGGGGUCUUUACUGUAGGGUAGGUUGGGGUCUAUGCUGUAGGGUAGGGUGGGGUCUUUACUAUAAGGUAGGUUGGGGCCUAUACUGUAGGGUAGGUUGGGGUCUAUACUGUAGGGUAGGUUGGGGCCUAUACUGUAGGGUAGGUUGGGGUCUUUACUGUAGGGUAGAGUGGGGUCUAUACUGUAGGGUAGGGUGGGUCUAUACUGUAGGGUAGGUUGGGGUCUUUACUGUAGGAUAGGGUGUGGUCUAUACUGUAGGAUAGGCUGGGGGUAAGAUUGGGUCUUUACUGUUGAAUAGGGUGGGUCUUUACUGUAGGGUAGGGUGGGGUCUUUACUGUAGGGUAGGGUGGGGUCUAUACUGUAGGGUAGGGUGGGGUCUAUACUGUAGGGUAGAGUGGGGUCUAUACUGUAGGGUGGGGUGGGGUCUUUAAUGUUGGAUAGAGUGGGGUCUAUACUGUAGGGUAGGUUGGGGUGUAUGCUGUAGGGUAGGGUAGAGUCUUUACUGUAGGGUAGGUUGGGGUCUAUACUGUAGGGUAGGGUGGGGUCUAUACUGUAGGGUAGGGUGGGUCUAUACUGUAGGGUAGGUUGGGGUCUAUACUGUAGGGUAGUUUGUGGUUUACACUGCAGGGUAGUUUGUGGUUUACACUGUAGGGUAGGGUGGGGUCUUUACUGUAGGGUGGGGUGGGGUCUUUUCUGUAGGGUAGGGUGGGGUCUAUACUGUAGGGUAGAGUGGGGUCUUUACUGUAGGGUAGAGUGGGGUCUAUACUGUAGGGUAGGGUGGGGUCUUUACUGUAGGGUAGGGUGGUGUCUAUACUGUAGGGUAGGGUGGGGUCUAUACUGUAGGGUAGAGUGGGGUCUAUACUGUAGGGUAGGGUGGUGUCUAUACUGUAGGGUAGAGUGGGGUCUAUACUGUAGGGUAGGGUGGUGUCUAUACUGUAGGGUAGAUGGGGUCUAUACUAUAGGGUAGGGUGGUGUCUAUACUGUAGGGUAGAGUGGGGUCUAUACUGUAGGGUAGGGUGGUGUCUAUACUGUAGGGUAGGGUGGGGUCUAUACUGUAGGGUAGGGUGGUGUCUAUACUGUAGGGUAGGGUGGGGUCUAUACUGUAGGGUAGGGUGGUGUCUAUACUGUAGGGUAGAUGGGGUCUAUACUGUAGGGUAGGGUGGUGUCUAUACUGUAGGGUAGGGUGGUGUCUAUACUGUAGGGUAGGGUGGGGUCUAUACUGUAGGGUUAUCGUGGGGUCUAUGCUGUAGGGUAGGGUGGGGUCUAUACUGUAGGGUAGAGUGGGGUCUAUACUGUAGGGUAGGGUGGGGUCUAUACUGUAGGGUAGAGUGGGGUCUAUACUGUAGGGUAGGGUGGUGUCUAUACUGUAGGGUAGGGUGGGGUCUAUACUGUAGGGUAGGGUGGUGUCUAUACUGUAGGGUGGGGUCUAUACUGUAGGGUAGAGUGG